Molecule: long non-coding RNA, 73 nt
Organism: Melitaea cinxia (Glanville fritillary)
Lineage: Eukaryota; Metazoa; Arthropoda; Insecta; Lepidoptera; Nymphalidae
Exons: 3
Source: RefSeq, a predicted model, not a curated record
CAAUCCUUCAUGGCCCUCAUUGUGCAUUGCCAAUGACGAGCAGGAAUUAAGAAAAAUGUUCAAAAAUUGUGGA